GCCCUCCUCCCUCUCUAAAAGAAAGAAGGGAGAGAGGAAGAAAUAAGAUCACUCCCAGAUUGGUGGAAAUGUUAAAUUGUAUAGCCAGUCUAGGAAACUGACAAUUUCUUAAAUAGCUAGAUAUGCAACUAUCAUAUCAACCAGCAAUUAUACUCCUGGGCAUUUAACUUAUUUUCACACAAAUACUUGAAUAUAAGUAUGCAUAAUAAUAAGCAACUGGAAAUAAUCUACAGGUCUUCCACUGGGUGAAUGAUUCAUCUGAUAUGUUUAGUCAAUGAAAUACUACACAGCAUUAAAAACAACACAUUGAUACAUGCCAACAACUUGGAUGAAUUUCCAGAGACUAUGCUGAGUGUAAAAAAGAAAUAGCCAAUCCCAAAAGGCUACUUACUGUGUGAUUCCAUUUAUAUAAAAUUUUUGAAAUGACAAAGUUAUAAAAAUGGGGAAUGGAUUAGUAGCAAGGUGUUAUGGAGGUGGUGGGUGUGACUGUAAAAGGACAACAUUGAGGGGACCUUUAAUGGAAAUAUUCUGUGUCUUGACUAUCAGUAAGCUGGUUGUUGUAUUGUACUAUAGUUUUUGCAAGAUAUUAUUACCAUUGGAGGAAUCUUGGUAAAGGAUACACGAGAUCUUUAUUUCUUACAACUGAAUGUGAAUUUAAAUCCUCAAAAAAUUCGAGAAAAAAACUAAAGGCAGAGUAACAUCUAGUUCCAUCUCAGGGAACAAUCUGGGGAAAUGUCAUGGAAAGUUGUGUACUUCUGAUAAAGAAUGAAGUCCUGAGAGCAAGUAUUUGAGGUAUAUGAAGGAAUCAAUUGAGUUUGCAAACUUGGGAAUUUCUGGAAGUGCUGCAGACUUAAUUCAACUGGUUACACAACCAGUGCCAGUAAGUGAAGUGGUUCUACAUACAUGUUGACUCUUUUAUUUUUCCCAUCAGCUUUGCUGCCUGAAAGAGACUUCAUAUUGAGAAAUGGCAGUGCUCACCCAUGAAAAGGUUGAUGGUGAUUCAGCUGAUCUAGAACUGGGGUCAACUAGGAAGCUUUGCUUGAGGCGAUGGGUUGACAUUAGCUCUGUUUCAUGGUCUUAUAAUUAUGGAGGCAGCAUCAACACUGUGGUUGUUAAUUGUUUGGGUCUUAGAGCCAGACUAUGUGGGUUGGAAACCUGUCUCAUUCUCUCAAUAGCUGUGUGACCUGGGGCGUAACUGCCCUGGUUACCUCCAGAUUUCUCUUCUGCGUGAUGGAGAUGAUAACACCUUCCUCAUAGAGAAGUUAUUAGGUUUAAAUGAGGUAAUAUAUGUAUUGCUUUUAGAUCAGAAUUUGGCACAUAGUGCUCAAAAAUAGUAACUAUUAUUUUAGUGCAUACAAGAUUAAUGCUUUUUGCCUUUGACCUAUUUUAAAUACUUUUUCUAAGGUUUCCAAGCAAACACAUUUAACAUUUUAAUGGCUUAUAUACUAUACCAUGGUUUGCUCAGUAUUUCCUCAACUAUUGGAUAUUCAUAUUAUUACUAGUUUUUAAAAAAUAUAUGAAUUUUUAAAGUGUAUCACUUUCAUUCAGGCUCCUCUCCUCCCAGCACCCCACAUUUCGUAUUAUUCCUCUGAGUUACGUUUCCAGAAGUUGAGAUUUCUGUUUCAUAAGGCAUGAAAAUUUUAAUGGAUAUGAAUUAUAUUGCAAAAUCCUCAUCCAAAAAGUCUAAACCAUUUUACAGUGUUAACUUAAGUCGGCCCUCACUUGUAUUGGUCUUGCUAGUAUUUCCUGCCUUUGUGUGCUUAUCAUCUCCAAGUCCUGUCUGAGGUAGAAGACUUCCCAAUCUGCUGCUGUGGUCUUCUCUUGCAGUUCGAUGCCUGACACCCAGUUCUUAUUCAUUUCACAUUAGAAUAAUUAUUCUUAAUCAUUGUUUUUCUUACAACACUGUUAGAAUUUUUCCUCUGUGGCUUCUACUUUUUGAAUACAGUUAAAAGUUUUUAUUAAUUAAAAUAAACUGUUCGACCAAUUGUCAUCUACUAAGCCUAUGAUUUCUGUCUUAUUUUAUUAGGAGGCUGUUCAGCCUAGUUCCAAGAAUGCAGGCAUCCGAGUCAGAUCCAGUUUGAAUCAUGUUGCUAUUAUUUACCGGAGUUGUAUAUCCUCAGGUAAAUUCUCUGAACUUCAAGUCCUCAUUGAGGAUAAGAACAACUACACCAACCUCCGGUGGUCACUGUGACAUAAGGAGUGUAAAAUCUUGGCUGGCAUUAGAUACUGAAUAAAUAUUAAUUUGCUCUUUCGAUCACUA
Long non-coding RNA from Canis lupus familiaris (dog), 2260 nucleotides. RefSeq lists it as uncharacterized. Lineage: Eukaryota; Metazoa; Chordata; Mammalia; Carnivora; Canidae. The record is from RefSeq and is a predicted model, not a curated record. The transcript has 3 exons.